CAACCUGCCGUCUACUCUUGGCCAGCCUUCUGAAAGGAAGAUUAAUCCAGGAUGGCAUCAUGAGUUCACAUGUCCGCAUGAUUAAAGGUAUUUUCCGGUAGACGAUGGGGAUGCGUUCCAUUAGAUAGUAGGCGGGGUAACGGCCCACCUAGUCAACGAUGGAUAGGGGUUCUGAGAGGAAGGUCCCCCACAUUGGAACUGAGACACGGUCCAAACUCCUACGGGAGGCAGCAGUGAGGAAUAUUGGUCAAUGGGCGAUGGCCUGAACCAGCCAAGUAGCGUGAAGGAUGACUGCCCUAUGGGUUGUAAACUUCUUUUAUAAAGGAAUAAAGUCGGGUAUGCAUACCCGUUUGCAUGUACUUUAUGAAUAAGGAUCGGCUAACUCCGUGCCAGCAGCCGCGGUAAUACGGAGGAUCCGAGCGUUAUCCGGAUUUAUUGGGUUUAAAGGGAGCGUAGAUGGAUGUUUAAGUCAGUUGUGAAAGUUUGCGGCUCAACCGUAAAAUUGCAGUUGAUACUGGAUGUCUUGAGUGCAGUUGAGGCAGGCGGAUUUCGUGGUGUAGCGGUGAAAUGCUUAGAUAUCACGAAGAACUCCGAUUG
This 597-nucleotide ribosomal RNA is filed under the name uncultured Bacteroidota bacterium. RNAcentral describes it as "bacterial SSU rRNA". It matches the Rfam family "Bacterial small subunit ribosomal RNA", at positions 122 to 715 of the family's 1533-position model. The record is from RNAcentral. Lineage: Bacteria; Pseudomonadati; Bacteroidota.